UUGGAGGGCAAGUCUGGUGCCAGCAGCCGCGGUAAUUCCAGCUCCAAUAGCGUAUAUUAAAGUUGUUGCAGUUAAAAAGCUCGUAGUUGAAUUUCGGGAUUAGUACGUCGGUCGUGCCUUAGGUACGUACUGGUGUUACUGGUUCCUACCUUCUGACGAACCAUCAUGUCAUUAAUUUGGUGUGGUGGGGAAUCAGGACUGUUACUUUGAAAAAAUUAGAGUGUUUAAAGCAGGCUCGCGCUUGAAUACAUUAGCAUGGAAUAAUGAAAUAGGACGUUGAUCCUAUUUUGUUGGUUUCUAGGAUUGACGUAAUGAUUAAUAGGGAUAGUUGGGGGCAUUAGUAUUCAAUUGUCAGAGGUGAAAUUCUUGGAUUUAUUGAAGACUAACUACUGCGAAAGCAUUUGCCAAGGAUGUUUUCAUUAAUCAAGAACGAAAGUUAGGGGAUCGAAGACGAUCAGAUACCGUCGUAGUCUUAACCAUAAACUAUGCUGACUAGGGAUCGGAUGAUGUUAUUUUUAAUGACUCAUUCGGCGCCUUACGGGAAAC
Molecule: ribosomal RNA, 546 nt
Filed under: uncultured Glomus
Lineage: Eukaryota; Fungi; Glomeromycota; Glomeromycetes; Glomerales; Glomeraceae
Description: SSU rRNA
Rfam family: Eukaryotic small subunit ribosomal RNA
Source: RNAcentral